This 8749-nucleotide long non-coding RNA is filed under the name Sus scrofa (pig). Its description in RNAcentral is "lncRNA (ENSSSCG00030066578.1)". The record is from RNAcentral. Lineage: Eukaryota; Metazoa; Chordata; Mammalia; Artiodactyla; Suidae.
CCCAGAUCUCUCAUCUGGGGGGCGGGGGAGGCCGGGCCACUCUCCAGGGGGUGCCUCCAGGCAAUAAAUAUUUCAUAAGGGAGCAGACCUCGGCAGUAAAGAUUAAGGAGCUUCGCAUCCUCAGAGAGAAGAAAGAGCUGUUUGAUUCUGCGGGUCAGCUGUUGUGGCCCAGGCGUUGUCACACAGAAGAACAAGCUUCUUAGCUGAGGGCGGACAUGGAAAUCAUGGCUCCCGUAGACAUGACCUCUGAACAAAGGUGGCAAGCCCAGGUGGUCCAAGUCGGCCCUGGGUGUUGGUGGAUGGAGGUCUCCAUGGCGAUUCUUGGUGCUCCUGGGCUUGGAGAACUUGGAGAUCACGGCCUGGAAAGGCUAAGGUGACCAGCAGAUGUCCCAUGGAAUUGCAGGAUGUCAUUGGCAGCCUGGUCCCAUCAGGAAGUACUGUUAGCUUAGCUGAGACAUGCUGCUGGCUCCAGAGGAGCAGCAGUGACCAAACCCUGGAACUCCGCUGAGCAUCACCCCUGCAGAAGAUGGAGACAGGUCCCAGGUGCGGAGAGGCUGACCUGGCCUGGGACUACGGGAGGGUGACAGAAUGUGCACCAGCCGGGCCCCCACCCUCUCCUGCCCCACCCCCGCCCCUGCGUGUCUCCUGCUCCCUGAGCAGCCACGUGUCGUCUGCCCUGGAGCUGAGGCUGCUUCUCUUGGAAGCCGCAUUUCUCCCUGUGCACCUGCCUGGCGGACUGUUUCACAGACAAUUAACGUGCAGUCCGCAGCUGCAGCACCCACGGCCACGCGGGGCGGAGGGAGCUCACGCCCACCAGGGCCACCCGAACAGAUGGCCGCCCCAAAUGCCCGCUGCAAGUCCCCUUGUCCACAGCCUUCCAGCAAACGAUGUUUCGAGCCCAUGGGACAUUGUGCUUGGAAGCUCCAAGUCUCCUUGUCCAAGAUUAAGAGGUGAGGGCGUCGGGGGUUUCUGAGCGGCUGCUCCGGAAGGAGGGCCUUAGUGACGCAUGGAGGACACAGUGGGUGGCAGAAGAGCACGUUCUCACCUUGUCCCUGUUCAGACACUGCGUUUGCUGACAACCUGUGCGCCUGGCCUCCCUCCUGCAGCAGGGAGUAGCCAGAACCCCUGAGCUGGGCCCUGGUGGGACAGCCGCUGGCAGGAGCCUCCUUCCCGCCAGAGACAAAGGUGUGAGUGGGAGGCCGGACUGCCAGCCAGGGGCCUUGUCCUUUCAACUCCGGACCGAGCGAGCCUCCACUGCAGGCCGGGGCAAGGAGGAGCCCUCGGCUUAACUGUCCAGGCCUGGAGGCUGCCGGCAAAGCCUCCCGCAGAGGGGCUGGCGGGGCCGUGUCCGGGUGGGACAGCUCGGGCCUGCGUGCCAGGCGAUGGUUCCUGACGACCAGAGGCCGGCAAAGUUCCGUGGGUCCCACUUUCCUCGUGAAGGGAGGAGCCCCAGAGAGAGAGGGCCCAGCCCUUCACUCCAGCUGGCUCCCUGCAAAGCUGCCAUGCGGUGGUCGCUCCAGCACCGUGUUCCAGGCUGUGUCGGGCACGGUGGUGGUUUGUGGUUCGUCCUCAGGAUGGCAUCUGCUUCCCAGGUGGUGAACUGAGGUGCAGGGGGAUCUGCACCACAGGCAGGGGGCCAGGCCCAUCUCCUGUCCACGACCCCGAGCCUUGCGUGCCGGGCACCCACCCUCCGAGCCCACCGUCUCUGCAAACCUGCGUCCCCUCCAUUAUGCCCUGAGAACCUAGUCACUGCAUCUCGAGGUGGCUGGGCUGGUCAGGGAUCAACCUCGGGGCCCCCAUGCAGACCCCCAGCGGUGCUUUCCUGGGGACUCAGCCUGCUGGUGUGGACCAGCCUCCAAGACACCGCGACUGCUCGCCAUGGCAGUGCCAGCAGUGCUGUGACCUGUGACCCAGCCUGUGAGUCUGAGCCUGCACUGGGAGCUUGGCGAGGGGCAGUGCCCCCACAGCCACUCGGAUCUUAGGCCACAUCUGCCAGGCUCCUUACGGCAGGAGCUGGCGAACACACAGCCUUUGCGGUUCAGGUUCAGGGCAGGGGAGAGGGUGGGGCCGCAGCUGCUGGGGACCACAGCGCAGACAUCUGGGGCACUGCCACUGGCUGCCAGUGAGCGAGACUUCCCCAGUGUCCUCCAGACCCAUCUCGUGGGGGCAGGCUGCUGUGCUGGAGACCAGGGUGUGGGGACGUGCAUGAGUGAGUGUGUGUGUGUAUCUGCAAGGAUCUGGUCAGGUAGGCUCAGCGUGGUGCCCAGGCUGAGCCUCUGGGCUGGAUGGCCCACCCCAGGCCUGCGGAAGGUCCUGCCCGGUCAUGCUGGGCGUGGGGCUGGGGGGAGCACAUGGGGAGACAGUGGUAUGGGGGCUGGGAGUCCCGCACCCAGGUUGCCAGCAGCUUUUCACAGACCCCGUGUGGGCCAGCUGUGGAGCCAGAGCCUGGGCCGGUCUGGGGCCCAGAGGCUGGGGUGGGGCCUCUGGUGAUGCCUGGUGGGGUGUCUGGGAAGCGUGGGUGCCCAGUCCCUCCUCCCCUCGUCCCGUGGGCGAGGAAGCCAGGGGCUGCAGUGUGUCUCCGCCGGGCCAAUGCUGCAAACCUCAUUAUCUCAACCCCAUGGGGGUUGCUGGUGCCACGCGAAGGUCCCAAGUCUCCUCUGGCGACUCUGACCCCACGGAGGAGGGCGUGAAGCUGUCCCCAAGGGGCAGCCUCACACCAGAUCACGAUGUGGAAACGGCAGGGGGAAGCGACUCUGGGAGUGACACUGGAACCCGCAGUGGCUCAUCCUGUUUGCAAACCGUCCUUUACGAGUCAUCCCACAGAAGCCGAACGCUUGGGGCGAGGACCGAGUCAGUGAACUGCUGCUGCUGCGACAAUGACCACGCAUUUAGUGUCUUAAGCGACACAAAUUUAGUCGCAGUCCUCCCAGCUGAAAUCAAGGGGUCAGAGAGUGUCGGUUCCCUCUGGAGGCUCCGAGGGGCCUGUGUCGGUUCCCGGGCCUUUUCCUGCUCCUGGGGGCACCACGUUCCAUGGCUUGUGGCCUCUUUCCCCGUCUUUAGAGCCAGCAGCGUCCGGGCUCUCUGGUUCGCUCCCUCUCAGGUCAGCAUUAGCAACCUAAUUGGCCCGCAGGUUGCAGAGUUUGGGACGUCGCCAUCCUUGCAAGGGCCCUUCCUCUGCUCACUGUGGACCCCACGCCGCCAAGUGUGGAGCCACCGGGAUCUGCUCCCAGAAGGAGUGAGAAACCUCUGACCCUGAGCCCUGGUGCGUGCGGGGUGCCUCGCUUGCCGCGCCUGGCAGAGCUGCGCUCCAUCCAGGAGGCGGGAACACGCCGGGGGGACACUGUGCUGCCGGCGGAGUUUGGCCCCCACUGGCGGAAGUGGGGGAACUGCCGUGCAUGUGGAAGAAUCCACCCAGAACAGAGAGAGGGGCCGGCCAGACCCCUGCCGGGCUCCGGCCUCUGCCUGCGUGGGCUCCGAAGCCCAGGCCCCACGGGCGCCCCUGUCCUCGUCCCUCACGCUCCUUUCUGACCCACCUGCAGCAGCUUCGCGCUGAGGAUUAUGCCGUCCUAAAAAUGAAAACAUGCGAAGGGAGAGGACGCCCAAUGCGUCCUUGUGGUGGAGCAGCUUCGGGCUUAGGACAGCUGGUGCCGCGGCAUCUGUGGGCUCAGGUUCCGAGGCCGAGGUGCCCUACAUGUGAGUGUGCAGCCGCGACUCCGUCAGGGCCUUAAAAGAGAGUCCAGACGCUUUGUGCUGGCCUGACCCCGCUGCUGCCUGGAGGAGCGCGUCUUCUGGCUGCCCUGCCCAGGAGGCACAUGUGCGCACUCCCGGCCCGGCAAGGGUGCUGUCUUGGCUCCCGCCUCUGGACUCCACUGAGGAAGAGGCGCCGGCGCUUUGCCCACCAGCUGCAGGGCAGUUUGGAGCGUCACGUGGUGAGCGGACGGACGUGAAGGAUGUUUUUACAAACUGUGCGUUACACAAGUGCCAGCUAUUAUUCUGGGCACAGCACCCUUUGUCUGGAACCGGCUUCCCCUGGGAGACUCCCGGUGCGUCCCAGAGCCUCGGCGGCAGCGUAGCACAGCCCUGGACCCUGGCCCCGCACCUCCUCCCCGGGCCGCCCCCUCCGGGGGCUGUGCCCACACCUGCUGUGCAUUCGGACGCCUCUCCUCCCACCGCAGCCCGGACGCUGGGUAAAGCCCGGUUGACACUGACCAGAACCCAGUGUGACUGAGUGACCCGGGGCCCACCAGCCACUGGAGUCUGUCAAUUUGGGGAAUUAAUCUGUGGAAGAAUGAGCCAGAGGCAGGGGUCAGGCGGUAGGAGGCCGGCCCGCUUCGAGCUUGGCUCUCCGCGGGGGGCUAAUGAGACCCACGCCGGCGACUCCCUGCCCUUCCCGGCCAGGCCAACGGUGGCCGCUCCUUGUGAGCUGUCCUCUCGUUGUGCCAGGAUGGGAAGCCUCUCUGUGCCCGACGGGAAAGCUCCUAGGUCUUCAGCAAAUCUGAGCCGUGGUGCUGGGAGUGCCACCAGCAGGAUGGUUCCCUGGCUCGGUUUUCCUUCUAGAAAAUCUCUGUCCAAACACAGAAGCUACUCCUGGAGGAGCAGUGGGAAUGGAGGCCCCCCCCCAAGUGUGGGGCUGAGGGCCUCUGCCCUGGAGUCCAGUCCGUGGGCCCACAUCCACACAGCCCACCCUAAAUGGCAUCACCUGGCCUGUGUACGUUGGUGUGGAUAUGACACCAGCGUACAGGGCCCAGGUCAGUGUAGACGAGGUGGAGGUGACAGCGGGACAGUGAGAUGGGGGAGCUGCUUGUGCCUCACCGGCUCUGAGCAAUGCCUGGGCCUGGCCCUGCCGGCCGAGCUGGUGUGGGGCCCACCCUAGGUACCUGCUCUGUGUCACUCCACUCGCCCCUCAUUGCUCAAGGUGGGCAGGGCUUGACGGGCGGGGCCCUGGACCACCUGGGGGUGUAGAAACCGGGGUCUCUGUGGCUUGUCGUGGGACCCUAGGACAGUGUGACUUGCUCUAGCAGCAUCCGGCUGUGGCUUGCUGGUAGGACGCGCGUGUCCAGAGAGCCAAACUGAGGGAGAGGUGCACCUGCCUGGGGGAGGCUGGCGGCCGGCGGGCAGUGGGCAGUGAUGGAUGUGGCCGCUCUUCUGCCCCUGCAAGCAGACAGGCGUCUGAGAAACACAUGGCUCAGGCCCGGAGAUUGAUCAUCCAUCAGCCAAUUAGGAGCACGCCCUGAUGAGGCGGCGCCCAGGCCUGGACACUGCGCCUGCUGAUGAAAGAGCAGGUGACCGGGCAGCCGGCGCAAGCCCGCCCCUGCGGCUGCGGCGAGAGCAGCUCCAGACGGGGGCUCUGGGGACGCCAAGAACCAGGCUGGCACAGGGCCUGAAGGGGGUCCUGGGCCGGGAGAGUCGUGUUCCAGUUAGCAGCACCCCCUGGAAGACUUCUAGGAUUCUGGGGUCCAGUCGUAAUCCUCUGAAACAGUUUCGGGGAAUCACAGGUUCUCACUGCCCUUGCUGUGGAGGCGAGGAGAACGCACGGAGUUUCAUUUUGAAAACGGUCCUCGGCUUUUACUUCACACGCACAGCGCAGCAUCGGUCUACGCGGUGUCCGGAGCUGCACUGCCUCGUCGCAGCAUCGCCGUCAUCCGGGCGACCUUGAGCAAGUGCCUCAACCUUGCCCAGCCGAAGUCCCCUCUGUGACCUCCAUAUGCUUAGAGGUCGAUGUGUGAUUGUGUUGCAAACUCUAAAUCCAGAUACAAACACAGGCGAUUGCCAACAAUCCAUCGGACUUUUGAAAAAUGCCACCACUUUUUGCAGACUCUGCUCUCUCUUAAAAUCGGUCCGUGUGAAGCCUCUUUAAUUUUUUAAGCCAUCUCCCCUCCUCUCUGGGGGCUGAUGCUGCCCCUUCUGGGGCUCCAUGUGCCCUCUUUCCGGGGGCUCCAGGGGAGAACACACCUGCAGCUGAGCCUUUUCCAGCUUCUGGAGGCGCCUGCCUUCCUCGGCUGGCAGUGCCGUCCUGUGUCUCCGAGGCCGGCGGGGUGGACGGUCCCUGAGCUCCUCUACCGCCCCCUUUCCAGGUGACCCCCCGGGGUGCCCAGAGAGUCCCGGGCCGUCCGUGCUCCUCAGCACCCGAGCUCCCUGCCAGGUCCCUCGCCCCAGGAGCACAUCCCUGGGCUCCAGGACACAGACGUUGAGGGGCCCUCAUCACCAGCCCCAGAGGAAGGCGUGCAUGCGGCCCUCAGCAGGCCGUGUGGGGCCCGGGCCCUGCAGCCCCUGCUGUAGGAGUUUCCCUCGCUCAGAGGGGCUGCGAGGUGUCCUGCUUUCCGCCUGUGCCAGACGUAGAGGGUGGGGGCCGGCCAGGUUUGCCUGCACAUGGUGUCCCAGUGUGCAGCCACCAGCAGCGCCACCAGCUAGAGUUUGGUUUGGGCUCAAUGCAAACGGUUCCUCAGGGCAGCUCCCAAGCCAGUGACUGGCAGGUGCCCCCCUGGGUGCAGAGGCCAAGAACUCACCCCCCAGUUGGGGGAGAGAGACUGACGGGGACUGUGACGCGUCCAGAGGCCCGUUGGAGGUGGAGGGAGCCGUGAGCAGAGGGUCACGACCGCCUCUGGAAGCUGGAAAAGGCACAGGUUGCCGUGGAGGGUCCACAGGGAACCCGCCCCGGAGACACUUUUCAGACCUGUGACCCGCGGAGCGGAGGUGGGGAGCCGGGGCUGUGCUGAAGCUGAGUGUGGCAGCUGGUUCCAGGGCCCCAGAGCUACUGCCCCGCGGCUUCUGACCCAGAGCUUUGCAGGCGGGGCCUGACCCCGUGCUCUCCCACACGCCUGGGCCCGAGCACCAGCUCCGAGAGCAGCCGCUGCGGAAACCGGAAACCAGCUCAAGUCCGAAGGGGCAGAGGGAGGGCCGCAGGCGAGAGCAGGGCCCAGGCUGGCGGGGCGGACGCUGGCACGGAAACAGGGACAAUCGGGAUGCUUGAAAUUGCGCAGGGGGACAUGAGGGCCCUGCCGCAUGUCUAAUUUGAAAAACUAAGUCAGAUUGUUGAGCCACUUGAUCCUUUCCAGGUACGAAACCGCUUGGUCAGUGUGGGAUGAGCGGCAGCUUCAGCCGCCGUGUCUAGACCCACCUCUGAAGAGCCAGGUGGCAGAACUCGGACCUCGGUCCCUCCACGUGGCACCUUCUCACUGCUUUUAUCCCCUCCCCCGCACCCAUAUCCUACCUCUCCUUCGUCCCAAGUGUGAAGAUCUUUUUGGGGACACUUGUGUCCAGAGAAGCCCCUUCCCCAUCACAGGCCCAGGACUCAGUCCUAUCAGCACCACUCAGCCUUUUCUGACUGCAUAAGAGAGGCGAGGGGCUCUGGGCGGGCCCUGAAAAGCCACGAGGGGCUCCCCCUUCCCCGGAGGCCACGUGGUCCUGGAACCCCCCCUUCCCCUGGAGGCCGCGUGGUCCUGGGACCCCCCCCUUUCCCCUGGACACCGCGUGGUCCUGGGACCCCCCCCUUCUCCUGGAGGCAGCGUGGUCCUGGAACCCCCCCUCCAUAUGUGUCAGGCUCGGCUGUGAGAGGACUGUGGGGGGCAGAGAAGACCUCGGGAAACUCUUACGGCCUCUCUGUUCUUGAGGCAGCUAAGGGGACAAGACCAGGCCAUGUGGGUGAUGUGCCCGCAUGGCAUCCAUAGCGCGUGUUCAGCCUUCAUCCGUCACCGUCAGGGCAGUCAGCACGGCUGCGGGUGCUGGGGUCCCUCCCGGAGCACUUGCUCUGCCCGCACAGGGCUCAGCCUCCCCGCAUUCCGCGCGAGGCCUGUCAUCCCAGAUGGAUGCCUGGACUUCCCAGGGGGACCCGGGUGGGAAGAUUCUUCUUUUGAAAUGAAUAUGCAAGUUCUUAGAAGGUGGUACUAAAUUAGCACCAGCUUUAUCUUGGCUGUAAGUUGAUUUCUCAUUCUUUGGGUUUAAGAUUCCAUCCCAAGCCUAUAAUUACUUCCCUGAAAUAGGCUUUUAUACCCUAAAUGGCCAGACAUUGUGUCCCCGGUCCUUUAUCUUGAUUAGAAAUGGAUCCCAUGUUUUAGUAAGUUUGUCGGGCAGCGCCUCACCCACUGAAGCAGCAGGUGUGGCCAUAAGCCCUUGGUUCCCGAAAUAGCCUCCCCCUCCCUCUCCCCCACCCACCGCACCGCUGUGUGUUCAGUCUCAAGGGGACCCAUGUGCAGUUGCAGAGCUGAGUCUUUGUCCCUCUCUUUGCUCGUCUGACAGUGUGUCUCUGUGGACUCAGGAGCAGAGCCGCGAGGCCUGGCUGGAGAGUCAGAGGAGACGCACACGCGUAGGAGGAGAGGCACUGCCUGAGGCCUGGGGAUGCGGCCACGCAGCAGCAAACGGGAAGGAGGCCCCAUUUCCACAGCACCUGGGUGCUCAGUCCUGAUCACACCCACUUCUAGGCGUGUGAUGUCAGCUAGGCCUGCACGUUGCUUUGAAAGAAGCCCACGCCCCCGUGGGGUGAGCAGACCCCUCCUGGGGUGAAGAUGCUUCUCUGGACAAGCGACAUGUUCUGUGCCUGGAAGGUCCCAGCAGGACACGUGAGUGCGGCUAAGGGAGACCCCAGCCUUCUCCUCUGAUGUGGUUUCCCAGCCCAGGGGUUUUGAGGGGGCAUCUGUCCUGGGCAGCCUCCAGAAGAUGCACCCCCGCGUCAGUGAGGGUAAGCUAGGCCCUCACUGUGGCUUCCAUGUCAUGGGCUCCAGAAUAUGACCUUGGAUGAAUAAAGAUGUCUAUG